RNAcentral lists this ribosomal RNA (460 nucleotides) under uncultured bacterium. Its description in RNAcentral is "partial 16S ribosomal RNA". It matches the Rfam family "Bacterial small subunit ribosomal RNA", at positions 338 to 795 of the family's 1533-position model. The record is from RNAcentral.
CCUACGGGAGACAGCAGUGAGGAAUAUUGGUCAAUGGACGAGAGUCUGAACCAGCCAAGUAGCGUGAAGGAUGACUGCCCUAUGGGUUGUAAACUUCUUUUAUAUGGGAAUAAAACGUUCCACGUGUGGGUUUUUGUAUGUACCAUAUGAAUAAGGAUCGGCUAACGCCGUGCCAGCAGCCGCGGUAAUACGGAGGAUCCGAGCGUUAUCCGGAUUUAUUGGGGUUAAAGGGAGCGUAGGUGGUUUGUUAAGUCAGUUGUGAAAGUUUGCGGCUCAACCGUAAAAUUGCAGUUGAAACUGGCAGUCUUGAGUGCAGUAGAGGUGGGCGGAAUGCGUGGUGUAGCGGUGAAAUGCUUAGAUAUCACGAAGAACUCCGGUUGCGAAGGCAGCUCACUGGACUGCAACUGACACUGAGGCUCGAAAGUGUGGGUAUCAAACAGGAUUAGAUACCCCUGUAGUC